Molecule: ribosomal RNA, 471 nt
Filed under: uncultured bacterium
Lineage: Bacteria
Description: bacterial SSU rRNA
Rfam family: Bacterial small subunit ribosomal RNA
Source: RNAcentral
GGGCCCGCACAAGCGGUGGAGCAUGUGGUUCAAUUCGAUGCAGAGCGAAGAACCUUACCUGGGCUUGACAUGCAGGAAGUAGAAACCGGAAACGGGGACGACCUGUUGAGUCAGGAGCCUGCACAGGUGGUGCAUGGCUGUCGUCAGCUCGUGCCGUGAGGUGUUGGGUUAAGUCCCGCAACGAGCGCAACCCUCACCCUAUGUUGCCAUCGGGUAAUGCCGGGCACUCUUGGGGAACUGCCGGCGAAGAGCUGGAGGAAGGGGGGGAUGACGUCAAGUCCGUAUGCCCCUUAUGUCCAGGGCUACACACAUGCUACAAUGGCCGAUACAGAGGGUUCCCAACCCGCAAGGGGGAGGCAAUCCCACAAAGUCGGUCUCAGUUCGGAUUGCAGGCUGCAACUCGCCUGCAUGAAGUCGGAAUCGCUAGUAAGCGCAGAUCAGCAGGCUGCGCUGAAUACGUUCCCGGGCCUU